GAUGAACGCUGGCGGCGUGCCUAAUACAUGCAAGUCGAGCGAACGGACGAGAAGCUUGCUUCUCUGAUGUUAGCGGCGGACGGGUGAGUAACACGUGGAUAACCUACCUAUAAGACUGGGAUAACUUCGGGAAACCGGAGCUAAUACCGGAUAAUAUUUUGAACCGCAUGGUUCAAAAGUGAAAGACGGUCUUGCUGUCACUUAUAGAUGGAUCCGCGCUGCAUUAGCUAGUUGGUAAGGUAACGGCUUACCAAGGCAACGAUGCAUAGCCGACCUGAGAGGGUGAUCGGCCACACUGGAACUGAGACACGGUCCAGAGUCCUACGGGAGGCAGCAGUAGGGAAUCUUCCGCAAUGGGCGAAAGCCUGACGGAGCAACGCCGCGUGAGUGAUGAAGGUCUUCGGAUCGUAAAACUCUGUUAUUAGGGAAGAACAUAUGUGUAAGUAACUGUGCACAUCUUGACGGUACCUAAUCAGAAAGCCACGGCUAACUACGU
RNAcentral lists this ribosomal RNA (496 nucleotides) under uncultured bacterium. RNAcentral describes it as "partial 16S ribosomal RNA". It matches the Rfam family "Bacterial small subunit ribosomal RNA", at positions 28 to 506 of the family's 1533-position model. The record is from RNAcentral.